GUGGCCCUCUAUUAACACGUGGCGCCUAGUCAUUAUCCAUAUGGACGCCAUGUUAUCAGUUAACGAGAGAUUUAACAGUUUGACUAACGGAUGUAUAAGACUGUCCCAAAAUUUACAUUCAGACUCAGAGAAACAAUGGAGCCCUUAGCUCUCAACCUGAAAAUGCUCCGAGGCCCGGGGUUUCAUAAUUGGAACGGCGACACCCGAAACUUCCGACCCGGAUCCAAGGUCCGAAUCGGCCGCGACGGUCGCUGCAACAACAUCCCGAUCAAAGACUCCGGCAUUUCUUCCAAGCACCUCUCCAUCGAGUCCGAAUCGGGCAAAUGGGUGCUCCGAGACCUCGAAUCCUCAAACGGAACCCUUUUGAAUGGCACCAAUGUCCCCCCAAACACGCCGCUGGAUCUCAGCCACGGCGACGAAAUCAAAAUCGGCGAGUGCACUUCCAUUGAGGUUAAGAUCGAUGGCUACGAAGAGAGCCGGCUGAGACGGAAUCCGAGGCGUGUCGAGGAAAUUGAGGUCAAGGGGAAUCAGAAGAGGGGUCGACCGCCCAAAGCUAGGGUUUUGAAGAGGGAGGUUGCGGAGGAGAAGCCUGUGGAGGAAAAAUUGACACGGCAAGUGAGGGUGAGGCAAACUCGGAUCUCGAAGAAUGAGGAAUUGGGGAAGAUUGCAGAGAGCUCUUGUGUAGACACUGAAGGAUUGCCGAAAAGGACACGUGGCGGUGUGAGGAGGGGGAAGAAUGCACCAAAAGAGCAACCGGUGUGCGAUAAACUUGGCAAUGAAGCUUCAAAAGCGGUGAAAUUGGAGGAAGAGAGACAUGAGGAGGCGGAUAGAGAGUUCAACGUUGGAGGAGAGAGUGGUGGAAAAGGUGAAAGUGGAAGUGGGAAUGGCGAAAAGGUUGAAAAUGGAAGCGGGAGUGGCAUUAAGGGCUACAAUGGAAGUGGGAGUGGUUUGGGUGUUAAUGUGAGCUGUGACUUGGAGAAGAUGACGCUCGGGGAGUGGUUUGAGUUUUUGGAGAGGCAUUUGCCAAAACAGAUCAUUGGUGAGACGGAGGAGGCACUUGUGGAAAUGACAGAGAAAGCAAAGCGAAUUCGGGAGCACAUUGCGCAGGAGAAGAAGUGAAUGUGCUCGUGGUCUAAACGGGAUAAGAUGGGAGGAUUAGCGCCUUGUGUUCUGUGGUGGUGGCAUUUCUUCAUUCUUCAACCGGCAGAUCCAGUUUGAGAUGCUGCGCCUUGCUUCUAAAGUCUGCAAUUGUUCAGCUUCUAACGGAGAAACUUGUAUAUAUCAGAGCUUUCUCAUGGUAAAUGUGGAACAAAUGGGUACGGUGUAGGUAGCUGUAUCGGUUCAUGCAUUGUAUGAGUGUGCAAGUUGUGUACUGCAAUUUUCUGGGUAAUCAUCUACGCAUUGCUAGUUCCUUUUCA
This is an RNA transcript of Pyrus x bretschneideri (Chinese white pear), 1418 nucleotides long. It is a transcript of the gene named FHA domain-containing protein At4g14490-like, with no coding region annotated. The transcript has 3 exons. Lineage: Eukaryota; Viridiplantae; Streptophyta; Magnoliopsida; Rosales; Rosaceae. The record is from RefSeq and is a predicted model, not a curated record.